CCUACGGGUGGCAGCAGUGGGGAAUCUUGCACAAUGGACGAAAGUCUGAUGCAGCGAUUCCGCGUGGAGGAUGACGCAUUACGGUGUGUAAACUCCUUUUCUGGUGGAAGACGAAUGACGGUACACCAGGAAUAAGGGACGGCUAACUACGUGCCAGCAGCCGCGGUAAUACGUAGGUCCCAAGCGUUAUCCGGAUUUACUGGGCGUAAAGUGUCCGUAGCCUGAUAUGUAAGUCUGUUUUCAAAUACCUGGACUCAAUCGAGGGAAGGGAAUAGAUACUGCAUAUCUAGAGAUAUUUGGAGGUUAGUGGAAUUUCGGGUGGAGCGGUGAAAUGCGUUGAUAUCCGAAAGAACGCCGAAAGCGAAAGCAGCUAACUACAAUACAUCUGACGGUGAGGGACGAAAGUUUGGGGAGCAAACGGGAUUAGAUACCCUGGUAGUC
This 441-nucleotide ribosomal RNA is filed under the name uncultured candidate division SR1 bacterium. RNAcentral describes it as "bacterial SSU rRNA". It matches the Rfam family "Bacterial small subunit ribosomal RNA", at positions 338 to 795 of the family's 1533-position model. Lineage: Bacteria; Candidatus Absconditibacteriota. The record is from RNAcentral.